AGUUGGUGCGAAGGUGCUGAGACAGUUGGUAACUGACCUGUUAUAACUGAGGUUAAGUUUUCACUCCGGGGCUACAGAGGUAGAGUCAGUGUGCUCAGGCAUGAUUUCAGGAGAGCUGCUCCUGUCUACUCCCCCAGCACCCAGACUCACCUUAUAUUCCUGAGUGGACUGAUGUUCAUGAACAUGAGCUUAUAAAUGUGUUGUUUAUCAUGAAGUAUCACGGACUCUCGUUAAGUCUGUUUCCUGUGUCUCUCAAGAGAUGGAGAAAAGGCCCAUCUCUGUGGGUGUUGACCCAUGGGAGCAGAGAGUAUCCUGACAAGGACUGAGAGGUUAAGGAAGGAGCCAGGCUCAAGCUUCAAGGGGACAUAUGCCUGAACAACAAUGCAACUCUGGAUACAAGUGCCUGUGCCCUUCCUCGAGUUGAUGGAAUUUAGCUACUAGAUAUAUGCUCCAUCAGCUUACAGGAGCUCCAACCAUGAUGUCCUGGUCAUGCUGGUCAAGAACGGUUCCCUCAUCCCAAUCCCUGACUUGGGCUUGCAACAUGUCCUAGAACCUGGACCACUAGCACCAGCAGAUGCUGUAACAAAAUUCCUGAACAGGAUGCAAAAGUGUUUCAGCUGAGCCUUGAGAGGUGAACGUACCUUGGCACCUGUCCCCUGGAUGGGACAACUUGAGGAAGGGCCAUCCAUAUUCCUGUUCCCUACCCAGGACACUGCUAAUGUGCAUAUGAGGAGAACACAAGACCCCAACCUGCUGCAGGAUGGAGAGCAGAGACAACUGAAGCCUUCUCCAUAACACUUGUGCAUUCCUUCUGCAGGCUUCAAAAGACUAAUCUGUGAUUUUAGACACAGGACAGGAGGAGACUGAGAGGUGAACGCUAGCUAAGCCUGCGUCUUCUACCAGGGCAGUGACCUGCAAAUGAUGUUCCACUGACUAGAUUUUUGGAUAGUAAUUGUUGUAGUCCAAGAGACUCUUUGACAAGACAAGAGUGUGUACAUUUGGAGCAUUCUGGGGACAUAAUUUUGAUAGUAAUAUAAUUUUCUGUAACCUGCAAGAGUUUAAUAGUUCUAGUUGUUUUAUUUAUGUAUGAUAUAUUUAGUUUUGUUUUAUGAGCUUGUUGGGAUUUUCAACAUAUAGAUUCACUCUGUUUAUGAAUGAAUAUUCUACUGGCAGUUCCAGUGGGAUGAACAAUUAAUCCUCCCCCCU
Molecule: long non-coding RNA, 1206 nt
Organism: Mus musculus (house mouse)
Lineage: Eukaryota; Metazoa; Chordata; Mammalia; Rodentia; Muridae
Product: RIKEN cDNA 1700048B10 gene
Exons: 5
Source: RefSeq, a predicted model, not a curated record